Molecule: unclassified non-coding RNA, 518 nt
Filed under: Hevea brasiliensis (rubber tree)
Lineage: Eukaryota; Viridiplantae; Streptophyta; Magnoliopsida; Malpighiales; Euphorbiaceae
Source: RNAcentral
UUUUUUUCGGUUGAAAGAUCGACUCUUUUAUUUCAUUCAAAGUCAUAUAUACACAGAACUUCACCACAACUUCGGCUAUCAUUUUGCUUAAAAUACAGAGCUGUUGCAACUGAAUUCAAAAUUUAAUAAAUAACAACUAAUGCCAGCUUAUUCCAAGAUUUUCUGCUGGUCUUCAUGCUUAAAGAAAAAAAUCCUUCAAUGUUGGAGCUAAAAUGCCAGUACUUCAACAGAUGCAGAUUUUAUAUCAUUAAGGCAAAAACAUACACAUAACAGGGAUCCAAUCACUCACGAGCAACUACAAUCACCUGUUUUCCAACAUUUCUACCCUUAAAAAGGCCUAUGAUGGCUCCAGGGCCCUUCUCCAGUCCUUCAACAAUGUCUUCAAUAUAUGUAAUCUUCCCUUCUCUAAGGUAGGGCAGCACAAUAUCCAAAAACUUGGGAUAUUGGGGAUAAUAAUCAGGUGCUGCAAAUCCUUCUAAGCGGACCCGUUUAUAAACAAUAGACAUCAAAUUACAAAC